AUCUUUCUUCCUUACUAUCCUUUUUUUUCUCUCUCACGCCAACAACCUAUGGCUGUGGUCCCAUGGACACUUCUCUCUCUCUCUCUCUCUUUAAAAAGCCUCUUUGGUUUCUCUCGUAUCCCUUUUCUUCUAUUUUGGGGUUUGGAUCCUUUAUUCGUUUCUCGAAAAUCUGAAAGUCAUUGUAAUUUUCAUCUUAUAUUUUAAUUCUUGUUUGCGAUUCAUGAUUUUGGCCUAUAUCUUGGUUUUGAAUAUAAAUAUGAUAUGACCCCAAUUUUUUGCCAUCGCCAACUUAUGAUCCCAGAUCUAUUAUGGAUAAAAAAGCUUGCACCGUGUUGUGGACCACACAUUUGAAAUGAUGAUGAGCUAUGAGAAUGUUGUAUUUUAAAGAAUAUUGUGAUGGAUCUGGUGAUGUGUUUUUUUUCAUUUUCAAUUUUGUGCUGAUUUUUCUAAAUCUCCAUUAGUUUGUGUUUUGUGACAUAAUUAAUUGACUGAUUCACAAUUUUACUAUUUUUAUAAUAUUGUGGUUAUCAUUUUCGGCGACUGUGAGGGCAAUGGAUGCCGGUGUCCUCGUCGUUGAAGAAGCAACUCUGCCAACCACGACUCUCAUGGCCUUGUCUUCUUUCUCUAAUUUUUUCUUAUAGUUUUUGAGAAUAUGAAAUUAAUAUUUUGAAGAUCUUUGCCUGAAACUUUAAAAUUCGGCGAUCUUGUUACCAUUUGCGGCAACUGUGAGGCCAUGGAUGUAGGUGGCUGUCUCUUAAUGAAAGGAAGAUGAGAGG
Molecule: long non-coding RNA, 776 nt
Filed under: Nicotiana benthamiana
Lineage: Eukaryota; Viridiplantae; Streptophyta; Magnoliopsida; Solanales; Solanaceae
Description: long non-coding RNA (NBEN_LNC026361)
Source: RNAcentral